Anguilla rostrata (American eel) is the source of this 519-nucleotide long non-coding RNA. RefSeq lists it as uncharacterized. The record is from RefSeq and is a predicted model, not a curated record. NCBI's taxonomy places the organism in Eukaryota, Metazoa, Chordata, Actinopteri, Anguilliformes, Anguillidae. The transcript has 3 exons.
AUUCUGCACUGGUAGCUCGUGCAGAAAGGCCUACAUCAAAAGAAGGCCGCUGCAGCAAUCCCUGGUGUUUUUUUAGACCAUAAACCCAGGGAAAGUGGUUUGUUGGCCUUUAUGUAACGCAUGCGAUGGAGGUCGAACCAAACCUACGGGUCAAACUAACAAGAGAACAAAAUAUUGGGUGGAAACGCUCUGGACAUUUGUGCCCGGCUGGUUUCCAGCACAGAAUGUAUGUUCGUUCUCAGGAGAAGAAUGCAGUCAGUACCUUCCCGUGCGAAUGCUCUGUGUUCGCUCACCUCAAAGAUUACCGCUCGACUGCUGUUAAUUCGGCUGCCUGUGAGUCUACAGCAGGCCUUGGCUGUGAUUGGCCGAAGCCUCGGGCGUGACAGGCCGAGGGCUCGACCGGGAUUGGCUGAUGGCUUGCAGGCGCGUGGUCCUGGCUGCGUCCACUGACCCCUUGUCUUAAGCCUGCUUUGGGUUGCGUUUACACGAGCUGUGGUUUGGGGAGAGGGGGAUUUGCGG